GAUGAACGCUAGCGGCAGGCUUAACACAUGCAAGUCGAGGGGUAUAGGCUUUCGGGCCUAGAGACCGGCGCACGGGUGCGUAACGCGUAUGCAAUCUGCCUUGUACAAAGGGAUAGCCCAGAGAAAUUUGGAUUAAUACCUUAUAGUAUAUAUUUAGGACAUCCUAUUUAUAUUAAAGAUUUAUCGGUACAAGAUGAGCA
Molecule: ribosomal RNA, 200 nt
Filed under: uncultured bacterium
Lineage: Bacteria
Description: partial 16S ribosomal RNA
Rfam family: Bacterial small subunit ribosomal RNA
Source: RNAcentral